RNAcentral lists this ribosomal RNA (305 nucleotides) under uncultured bacterium. RNAcentral's name for it is "bacterial SSU rRNA". It matches the Rfam family "Bacterial small subunit ribosomal RNA", at positions 333 to 655 of the family's 1533-position model. The record is from RNAcentral.
CUGCUCCUACGGGAGGCAGCAGUGGGGAAUAUUGCACAAUGGGGGAAACCCUGAUGCAGCGACGCCGCGUGAGUGAAGAAGUAUCUCGGUACGUAAAGCUCUAUCAGCAGGGAAGAAAAUGACGGUACCUGACUAAGAAGCCCCGGCUAACUACGUGCCAGCAGCCGCGGUAAUACGUAGGGGGCAAGCGUUAUCCGGAAUUACUGGGUGUAAAGGGAGCGCAGGCGGGAAGCCAAGUCAGCUGUGAAAACUACGGGCUUAACUUGUAGACUGCAGUUGAAACUGGUUUUCUUGGGUGAAGUAGG